This 668-nucleotide ribosomal RNA is filed under the name bacterium IMCC7638. RNAcentral's name for it is "bacterial SSU rRNA". It matches the Rfam family "Bacterial small subunit ribosomal RNA", at positions 28 to 741 of the family's 1533-position model. The record is from RNAcentral.
AACGUACGCUGGCGGCACGCCUAACACAUGCAAGUCGAACGAAGUAGCAAUACUUAGUGGCAGACGGGUGAGUAACAUGUGGGUAUCUACCCUUUGGCCUGGAAUAACACGAGGAAACUUGUGCUAAUACCGGAUAAGUCUUUACGGAGAAAGCUUUAUGCACCAUUGGAUGAGCCCGCACUUGAUUAGUUUGUUGGUAGGGUAAUGGCCUACCAAGACUAUGAUCAAUAGCUGAUUUGAGAGGAUGAUCAGCCACAUUGGGACUGAGACACGGCCCAAACUCCUACGGGAGGCAGCAGUGGGGAAUCUUGCACAAUGGAGGAAACUCUGAUGCAGCGAUGCCGCGUGAGUGAAGAAGGCCUUUGGGUUGUAAAGCUCUUUCGUCGGGGAAGAAAAUGACUGUACCCGAAUAAGAAGGUCCGGCUAACUUCGUGCCAGCAGCCGCGGUAAUACGAAGGGACCUAGCGUAGUUCGGAAUUACUGGGCUUAAAGAGUUCGUAGGUGGUUGAAAAAGUUGGUGGUGAAAUCCCAGAGCUUAACUCUGGAACUGCCAUCAAAACUUUUCAGCUAGAGUAUGAUAGAGGAAAGCAGAAUUUCUAGUGUAGAGGUGAAAUUCGUAGAUAUUAGAAAGAAUACCAAUUGCGAAGGCAGCUUUCGGGAUCAUUACU